RNAcentral lists this ribosomal RNA (761 nucleotides) under uncultured fungus. RNAcentral's name for it is "SSU rRNA". It matches the Rfam family "Eukaryotic small subunit ribosomal RNA", at positions 804 to 1590 of the family's 1831-position model. Lineage: Eukaryota; Fungi. The record is from RNAcentral.
UUAGCAUGGAAUAAUGGAAUAGGAUGUGUGCCUCUAUUGGUCUUUUAGAGGCACCUUAAUGAGAAAUAGGGGCGGCUCGGGGGCAUUCGUAUUCAAUUGCUAGAGGUGAAAUUCUUGGAUUUAUUGAAGACGAACUACUGCGAAAGCAUUUGCCAAGGACGCUUUCAUUGAUCAAGAACGAAGGUCGGGGGAUCGAAAACGAUUAGAUACCGUUGUAGUCUCGACAGUAAACUAUGCCAAUGGGGGAUCGGUUUUGGUAUUAUUUAAUGACCAAAUCGGCACCCAAAGAGAAAUCUUGAAUGCGGUUCGUGGGGGAGUACGGUCACAAGGCUGAAACUUAAAGGAAUUGACGGAAGGGCACCACCAGGAGUGGAGCCUGCGGCUUAAUUUGACUCAACACGGGGAAACUCACCAGGUCCAGACACAAUAAGGAUUGACAGAUUGAUAGCUCUUUCUUGAUCUUGUGGUUGGUGGUGCAUGGCCGUUCUUAGUUGGUGGAGUGAUUUGUCUGCUUAAUUGCGAUAACGAACGAGACCUUAACCUGCUAAAUAGCCCGGUCGACUUUGGUUGAUCGCUGGCUUCUUAGAGGGACUAUCGACGUUUAGUCGAUGGAAGUUUGAGGCAAUAACAGGUCUGUGAUGCCCUUAGAUGUUCUGGGCCGCACGCGCGCUACACUGACAGAGCCAGCGAGUACUUUCCUUGGCCGGAAGGCCUGGGUAAUCUUGUGAAACUCUGUCGUGAUGGGGAUAGAGCAUUGCAAU